AGGCUGAAGGUACCGUAAGAAUAAGGAUCGGCUAACUCCGUGCCAGCAGCCGCGGUAAUACGGAGGAUCCAAGCGUUAUCCGGAUUCAUUGGGUUUAAAGGGUGCGUAUGCGGGAUAAUAAGUCAGUGGUGAAAGCCUGCAGCUUAACUGCAGAACUGCCAUUGAUACUGUUAACCUUGAGUGUGUUUGAAGUGGGCGGAAUGUGUCAUGUAGCGGUGAAAUGCGCAGAUAUGACACAGAACACCAAUUGCGUAGGCAGCUCACUAAACCAUAACUGACGCUGAGGCACGAAAGCGUGGGGAUCAAACAGGAUUAGAUACCCUGGUAGUCCACGCCGUAAACUAUGAUUACUCGAUGUGUGCGAUAUACAGUACGCGUCCAAGCUAAAGCUUUAAGUAAUCCACCUGGGGAGUACGGUCGCAAGAUUGAAACUCAAAGGAAUUGACGGGGGCCCGCACAAGCGGAGGAGCAUGUGGUUUAAUUCGAUGAUACGCGAGGAACCUUACCAGGGCUUGGAAGUUAGUGACGUUUCGGGAAACCGGAAUUUCAGCAAUGACACGAAACUAGGUGCUGCAUGGCUGUCGUCAGCUCGUGCCGUGAGGUGUUGGGUUAAGUCCCGCAACGAGCGCAACCCCUAUCUUUAGUUGCCAGCGAGUAAUGUCGGGGACUCUAGAGAAACUGCCCGCGUAAGCGUGAGGAAGGUGGGGAUGACGUCAAGUCAGCACGGCCCUUACGUCCUGGGCUACACACGUGCUACAAUGGCCAUUACAAUGGGUCGCUACCUGGUGACAGGAUGCUAAUCUCAUAAAAAUGGUCUCAGUUCGGAUUGGAGUCUGCAACUCGACUCCAUGAAGCUGGA
This 859-nucleotide ribosomal RNA is filed under the name uncultured Bacteroidota bacterium. RNAcentral's name for it is "bacterial SSU rRNA". It matches the Rfam family "Bacterial small subunit ribosomal RNA", at positions 466 to 1330 of the family's 1533-position model. The record is from RNAcentral. Lineage: Bacteria; Pseudomonadati; Bacteroidota.